Molecule: ribosomal RNA, 305 nt
Filed under: uncultured bacterium
Lineage: Bacteria
Description: bacterial SSU rRNA
Rfam family: Bacterial small subunit ribosomal RNA
Source: RNAcentral
UGCCUACGGGGGGCAGCAGUGAGGAAUAUUGGUCAAUGGGCGAGAGCCUGAACCAGCCAAGUCGCGUGAGGGAAGACGGUCCUAUGGAUUGUAAACCUCUUUUGCCGGGGAGCAAAAAGCGGUACGUGUACCGCAUCGAGAGUACCCGGAGAAAAAGCAUCGGCUAACUCCGUGCCAGCAGCCGCGGUAAUACGGAGGAUGCGAGCGUUAUCCGGAUUUAUUGGGUUUAACGGGUGCGCAGGCGGCGAGUUAAGUCAGCGGUAAAAUUUCGGGGCUCAACCCCGCCGAGCCGUUGAAACUGGCUU